GAUGAACGCUAGCGGCAGGCCUAACACAUGCAAGUCGAGGGGUAGAAGGAGCUUGCUCCUUUGAGACCGGCGCACGGGUGCGUAACGCGUAUGCAAUCUACCUUGUACAGGGGAAUAGCCCAGAGAAAUUUGGAUUAAUGCCCCAUAGUAUAUAACCUUCGCAUGUUGGUUAUCUUAAAGUUCCAACGGUACAAGAUGAGCAUGCGUCCCAUUAGUUAGUUGGUAAGGUAACGGCUUACCAAGACGAUGAUGGGUAGGGGUCCUGAGAGGGAGAUCCCCCACACUGGUACUGAGACACGGACCAGACUCCUACGGGAGGCAGCAGUGAGGAAUAUUGGUCAAUGGUCGCAAGACUGAACCAGCCAUGCCGCGUGCAGGAAGACGGUCCUAUGGAUUGUAAACUGCUUUUAUACAGGAAGAAACCCUCCCACGUGUGGGAGCUUGACGGUACUGUAGGAAUAAGGAUCGGCUAACUCCGUG
Molecule: ribosomal RNA, 480 nt
Filed under: uncultured bacterium
Lineage: Bacteria
Description: partial 16S ribosomal RNA
Rfam family: Bacterial small subunit ribosomal RNA
Source: RNAcentral